UACAGAGGUCUCAAGCGUUGUUCGGAUUCAUUGGGCGUAAAGGGUGCGUAGGCGGCGCGGUAAGUCGGGUGUGAAAUCUCGGGGCUUAACUCCGAAACUGCAUUCGAUACUGCCGUGCUUGAGGACUGGAGAGGAGACUGGAAUUUACGGUGUAGCGGUGAAAUGCGUAGAUAUCGGAAGGAAGACCAGUGGCGAAGGCGGGUCUCUGGACAGUUCCUGACGCUGAGGCACGAAGGUCAGGGGAGCAAACGGG
This 253-nucleotide ribosomal RNA is filed under the name uncultured bacterium. RNAcentral describes it as "partial 16S ribosomal RNA". It matches the Rfam family "Bacterial small subunit ribosomal RNA", at positions 524 to 776 of the family's 1533-position model. The record is from RNAcentral.